This 69-nucleotide transfer RNA is filed under the name Ictidomys tridecemlineatus (thirteen-lined ground squirrel). Its description in RNAcentral is "Spermophilus tridecemlineatus (thirteen-lined ground squirrel) tRNA". It matches the Rfam family "tRNA". From Rfam's summary of the family: Transfer RNA (tRNA) molecules are approximately 80 nucleotides in length. Their secondary structure includes four short double-helical elements and three loops (D, anti-codon, and T loops). The record is from Rfam by way of RNAcentral. Lineage: Eukaryota; Metazoa; Chordata; Mammalia; Rodentia; Sciuridae.
GGCAUUGUGGCUCAGUGGUAGUGUGCUCGCUUAGGAAGCGUGAGGCCCUGGGUUCGAUCCUCAGCACCA